Dermochelys coriacea (leatherback sea turtle) is the source of this 5440-nucleotide long non-coding RNA. RefSeq lists it as uncharacterized. Lineage: Eukaryota; Metazoa; Chordata; Testudines; Dermochelyidae. The transcript is spliced from 4 exons. The record is from RefSeq and is a predicted model, not a curated record.
GACCCAAAAAUCAGGACUGUUCCUAUAAAAUCAGGCUAUCUGGUCACCCUAGGGCACAGGAUUAAGCUGCUGGUGGACACUUAUGUCUUGCUGCAGAAACGGGGGCAGGACAAGGAACACGUGACCCACCCCCAAAGUGGGAAGGGAGGAGGUGGGUGCAGGCUCUCACCACUGCACUAACCCACAGAGAGAGCCCCAUAUGGAGGAUCAGGGUAAUUUUAACUCAGGGUAAUGGUCCCUCUCCCAGCUCCGCCAUGGGGCCGUGCAGCUCCAUGUUGACCCCUGCUGGGAACAGGGGGAAAUGCCGCAGUUUGCUCCCUGGGGAGGGAGAUGCUAAAGCAGUGUCAUGCUCAGGCCCCUGACCCUCCCCUGCAGCACCCCCAGCCCACAACAGGCGCCUAGAGGCACAAGCCACAUAGCUAAGCAGCCUCAGCAAUAGAGAAAUCGCUUACAGAGCAAUGAACUCUGACUUUAAAUCCAGCCCCUGCAUGCUCAGCAAUCUUCCCUGUGCGUGGUGCGGGCUGGGGCGUUUAUGGAAGAGACCAGAGGAAUUUACUGCUCAAAAUUUCCUUUCACUGACACUUUUCUCUUCUUUGCCCUGCAGAGUCAGCACAGCUGGGGAAAGAGCGAGCUGGCAGAUGUAUUAUCCCUAGGGUAACCAGAUAGCAAAUGUGAAAAUUCAGACAGGAAGUGGGGGGUAAUAGGGGCUUAUAUAAGAAAAAACUCCAAAUAUUGGGACUGUCCCUAUAAAAUCAGGACAUCUGAUCACCCUAAUUAUCUCUGGUAUCACAAAUCCUGCAGCCCGGUGACCUCUUCCCCUCCUGCCUCCAGUGACCCCUGUGCAGCCCCCGUCCCCUUCCCAUCAUGCCCUUGGUGACACGUUACCCCCAUCACCUUCCCAUCCUGCUGACUCAUGGGAAGGGGGGGGUGUCAUGUGAUCCUCUAGAUGGGAUCAUUGACCCUCCCCUAGGCCUCCCUCAAAUUUUAAUUGCUAAAGCUGGGUGCCCCCAGGUGCUCUCCACUCUGCCCCCUACCCCUCUCUGCCCCCCGCCCAGCACACACACCCCAGCACCAGUUGCCUCCAAGUACCACAACACUUAUGAUAAAAUCACAAUGCCUAGUUGACCUGAAACACGAGCUGUCACACUGAAUCCAUGUGAGCAAAGUCUGGUGUGUUUUUAAAGGUUUGCAGGAUUAAGGGUUCAUAGUGGGAAGAGUGAAACAAAUGAAAGAAAGAAUUGAUAUAAACUGAAAAUGUAGAUACAACAAUUGCUUCUAAUUUUUAUUUUUCGGGAAGCAUAGACACUACAUGUAACAGUAGCAGAUUUUUAAAAAUUUCAGACAGAAGUUGGGUUUCAUUUCAUUUUAUUUACUGUGGUAUUUCAAUAUACAAUGAGAAAAAUGACAAAGCCUGAUUCUUAUAACUCAGGAUGGUUGUGUGGCUAAGGCAGUGCACUACGAUCAAGAAAUCCAGUUUUGGUUCCUGAUAUGUUAAGGUGUGUUUACACUAGAGCUAUUAACUAAUAUGAUUGUACCAUGGGCAAGGGCACCGGGCUUUGUUCAUGUUACAUUUAAUCCUAGGAUUAUUCUAACAUGGCCAAAUUCUUGAACACUCUGUGCUUCUGUUUCCCAUCUGUACAAUACAAAGGCAGGACUAUUCUUUCUUCCCCCACCAUGUGUGUCUUGUAUAUGAGGAUUGUGAGCUCUGUGGGGCAGGGACUAUCUCUCACUGUGUGUCUGUGCAGCACCCAGCACAAUGGGGCCCUGAUCUCAGCUGGGGCGGGGACUGUCUCUCACUGCAUGUUUUCUUUCAGAUACUUAAAGUUUCUGUAACCACCAUGUAAUAAGAGUGUAAGUUCUUUGGGGCAAAGACUGUCGUUUUGUUCUGUUUGUACGACACCUAGCACAAUGGGGUCCUGAUCCAUGACUAGGAUUCCUAGGUGCUAUGAUAAUACAAAUAAUAAUGCUCCCAUUCUCCUCUGUAGUCCAGGCUCUCUGACUGAACUACAUCUCCCAAGAUGCACCACGGUCUCCCCUCUUGAGGAGUUGCCUCAGUGCAUCAUGAAAGACCCAUGGCUGCAGUGCAUCACUAGAGCUAAAGUCUGUCUGGUGAGCCUUGCCCAUAUAGGGACAUGAAGCACAUGAACUACAGCUCCCAUGAUGCACUGCAGCAGAAUUUCCAAACUAAAAUAUUUUGGGUUUCAGCCAAAACUCAAAACCUUUCCAUUUUUGGGUGUUCAGCUUUUCAACAAAAAGUCUAAAUUUUCCAUGGGAAAUAGACCCUUUUUGUGUGAAAUUUAAUUUAAUUGAAAUCUCAAUUUUCCAUCAAAAAACAGUUUUAGUAGAAAAUUUUCAAAUAGUCCUAACUGCUAACACCUUUACAGUCCUGUAUACCCACCACACAUACCACAGACCUGACACUUCUGCAGUCUGUACAGUAAAAUCAAAUUUAUAUGCUCUACACACACAACUAUUCAAUAUAAAUACCAAUCCACACACACGCAUGCAUGCACAUGCAUAAACACACAUACACUACUUCUACAGACAUUAUCAAAUACCUGAAUGAUACUGGUGUUUGUGGGGAUUGGAACCCCACUGUGUUAGACGCUGUACAAACACUAGGAAGACAUGGAAAACUUACACUGAGAGAUGACAGGUAAGAGACAAAGUGUGUGGGGGGGAAUACAAUUAAAGAAGUGCAAUAUUUAAUAUACUUUUUUUUUCUCUGCCCAGCAGUCUGAAUGUAGCUGAUCAUCAGUGUGGGGAACUUUAUGGCUGCAUAUAGUCAUGUUAUGAUGGAUGUGAGCACCAAAUGGGGAAUUAGGCAAGUAUAUCUGGUUUUUGUUCUCUAUACAUUUUUGUUUACUUCUUUUCUUCUGGGAAGUCCAUGGGCAACAUGUUAACCGAUAACAAAAGAAUCUCAUCGCUUCUAUGUUAAGUUUUUGUCAGCAGUCAUGAACAUAUGUCACUUUGGACAGGUGAGCAAUUCUGUGCUUUAGACCCUUCCUGAGGCAACGUUCCAAAUAUCUAUGUUCCCCCCACUGUUUGUGCUCAAUUUUUGGCUUUUCUGGGUCAUCGGCAUUGAUCUUCAUUAGUAUCUAGUGGUUUAAAUAUGGUUUGCGGUUAAGGCAUUAGCUGAAAACUCGAUGACCUGGGUUCAGUUCUUGGCUUUGUCACAGGUUAUCAUUCUUUGUUCUUUGGUCCAAGGUACUAGCCAAUCAGGACCCCAGAGAGUUGCUUCUACUAGAAGACAAAAACUGUGCCUAAAGUCCUGUUUCCCCAACCACAGUAGCAACAAACAGUGGUGGGCAGUUUCCUUGCUCAAAAAUUCCCAAGUCUCCCCCUGCAGCAAGCUCUGUGCCCAAGGAGCCCUGUCUCUCUGCUCCCUUUCACAUCACUCUCACAACUGCUGCUCCUGGCUCCUUGGCUUAAAACACACAUAAGCUAGACCCAGUGUUUGUAUCCAGGGACCUCAGCCCACAUGCUGCAGCUGUGACCUGCCAGGCAGCCUAGUCCUUGGGCAGAUGCUCCAUUGUCUGCGGCUAUCUUUGCCACAUAAAGAGGCUUGAUUGCACCUUCUGUUGUAUCUGAGCACCUUCCAGUCACAUUGAGCAACAUGACUUACACCCGUUCGGUGUCUGUCUCUCUCAUUGUCUUCACAAGAGAAGAAUGUUUUGUGUAGAGUGUUUUGUUUUGGUGCAGGUUUUUUUAGUUUUAUAUCUAUGUGUUGCUGUCAGGUUCUUAGCUCCACGUUGUUUCCAUUUCAAAUAUGGCUGUUUACAACAUAACAUCUUUUUAUUUGGUUUCUAAAGGUCUAGCUCUAUUGUGGAAACAUUGCCGUUGGGCAUAAGAAAAAAGCUUCUUGUUUUCCAAAGCUUCCCCUUGGAGCUGAGUUAAUAUUGACACUAUCCCUUUGACCCUGAACAUUUAAAAGCUGCAGUAGCUCAUCUGCUGUUCCUACAAGCUAUUGUGAUGCAGAAUGAAUGAUUCAGGGAUCAACAGAUGGCUCAUUCACUGCACAACUUACAUACAUGCCUCUUUAUUGGACUGAAUGUCUAACUGAGAAACCUACCAUGUGCUGUGUCUGAGCAAAGGCCCCGAUCCUGCAAACACCCAUACAUAAGUAACUUUACUGACAUGAGAAGUACCAAAGUCAUUGGGACCAUUCAUGUAAUUAUUGAUAUUGCAGUAACGCUCAGCAGACCCCAGCUGAGAUCAUUACCCCAUUGUGCUGGGUGCUGCACAGACACACAGUGAUACACAGUCCCUGCCCCAGCUGAGAUCAGGGCCCCGUUGUGCCGGGCACUGGACAGACAAACAGGGAGAGACAGUCCCUACCGCAGCUGAGGUCAGGGCUCCGUUGUGCCAGGCGCUGCACAGACACACAGGGAGAGACAGUCCCUGCCCCAGCUGAGAUCAGGGCCCCGUUGUACCCUGCUAGGCCAAGUGACUUGCCCAAUGUCACACGGAAUCUGUGUCAGAGCUGAGAACUGACUCCACGUGGUCCCCUGAGUGCCAGCCCAGGGCCUGAACCACUGGGUCAUCCAGCCUCUCUUUACAAAGCCCUAGAACAACACUUAACUGCAUAUCAGGCCAGACCAGCCACAUUGUCUAAAGCAACACAUCGGAGCAGGUGAGCUUGUGUUACAAGGCACCGAGGAAGAGACUUGGAGACAGAGCAGAUGGAUCUAGUAGGAAACAAGACAAUUGGAUUGAAGCCCCGGGAGCACUGAUGACACAGACAGCACACGACAAGGGACCCUUAUCAGACCGAGUGGGCAGCCUACUCCAAUCACCAGUGCUUGUCCAGCUCUCCUAGGCUGGCUCUGCAGAAGUCUUGCCCUAGCCGCCUUCGUCCUGGUCUCAGCAGAAGAGAGCCCAGAUGCAGGCAGAUGCGGUUGUGGUGAUGGAGCUCAUACAAUCGUUCAGGGAAAAGAUCUAUUUUCCGAGGUGGAUUCAGAGGAUCAGUGUCACAUCACACGUGGGCAGGAAGAACAUUUCCACGCCUCGCUGAGGGGAGGCACAAGCGUGAAGAAUUCAGAGCGAUCAGAAACGGAUUUUACACACCAGCGAAUGUGACUGAUUCUCACAAGAAAUUGACUUUUAUUCACUCUAAUAACCUGAGGUCUGUGGGUCUGAUUAACAUCUACGUCAAAACCUGAGUGCAUCUGAGUGUGAUCACACCUACUUCAAAGCCCCUGGGCUAUUCCAGACAAGCUUUCACACCUCAGCCCUCAACCCAUACAUACACAACCCCUGUGUGUCGCUUCGUUGCCAUCGUUACCCAGCCCUUUGCUGCUGGGUGUGUGACACAUCUCAGUUCUCACCAAUUUGCCCCAGCAGGCGUCAGGGGGAGGCAGGAGCCCAUCCCCCACGCACCUCCGAAACCAGGGGGGCUUGGAGUGAACCAGGCGUAGCCAGGACAAGUUUUGGGACAGCC